RNAcentral lists this small nuclear RNA (106 nucleotides) under Urocitellus parryii (Arctic ground squirrel). Lineage: Eukaryota; Metazoa; Chordata; Mammalia; Rodentia; Sciuridae. The record is from RNAcentral.
GUGCUUGCUUCGGUAGCACAUAUACUAAAUUUGGAAUGAUACAGAGAAGAUAGCAUGGCCCCUGUGCAAGGAUGACACACAAAUUCAUGAAGUGUUCCAUAUUUUU